AAAUGAUCAUAAGCGGAGGGAAGGAACCAACAGGGAUUGCCUCAGUAACGGCGAGUGAAGCGGCAACAGCUCAAAUUUGAAAUCUGGCACUUUCAGUGUCCGAGUUGUAAUUUGUAGAGGAUGUUUCGGCCACGACCCCGGGUUAAAUUUCUUGGAACAGAAUGUCAGAGAGGGUGAGAACCCCGUCUUGACUCGGGCGUACGGGCCGUGUGAAACUCCUUCGACGAGUCGAGUUGUUUGGGAAUGCAGCUCAAAAUGGGUGGUAAAUUUCAUCUAAAGCUAAAUAUUGGCCAGAGACCGAUAGCGCACAAGUAGAGUGAUCGAAAGAUGAAAAGCACUUUGAAAAGAGAGUUAAACAGUAUGUGAAAUUGUUGAAAGGGAAGCGCUGGCAACCAGACUUGAGCGCGGCGGUUCCCCCGGGCUUCUGCCCGGGCUACUCCGUCGUGUCCAGGCCAACAUCGGUUUCGGGGGUCGGUCAAAGGCCCUGGGAAUGUAUCUACCCUUCGGGGUCGACUUAGAGCCCAGGGUGUCAUGCGACCUCCCGGGACCGAGGAACGCGCUUCGGCUCGGAUGUUGGCGUAAUGGUUGUCAGCGACCCGUCUUGAAACACGGACCAAGGAGUCUAACAUCUAUGCGAGUGUUAGGGUGUCAAACCCUCACGCGGAAUGAAAGUGAACGGAGGUAGGAAGCCGCAAGGCCGCACUAUCGACCGAUCCUGAAGUUUACGGAUGGAUUUGAGUAAGAGCAUAGCUGUUGGGACCCGAAAGAUGGUGAACUAUGCGUGAAUAGGGUGAAGCCAGAGGAAACUCUGGUGGAGGCUCGCAGCGGUUCUGACGUGCAAAUCGAUCGUCAAAUUUGCGUAUAGGGGCGAAAGACUAAUCGAACUAUCUGGUAGCUGGUUUCUGCCGAAGUUUCCCUCAGGAUAGCAGUAACGUUUUCAGUUUUAUGAGGUAAAGCGAAUGAUUAGAGGCCUUGGGGUUGAAACAACCUUAACCUAUUCUCAAACUUUAAAUAUGUAAGAAGUCCUUGUUACUUAAUUGAACGUGGACAUUUGAAUGUAUCGUUACUAGUGGGCAUUUGA
This 1081-nucleotide ribosomal RNA is filed under the name Ceramothyrium thailandicum. Its description in RNAcentral is "eukaryotic LSU rRNA". It matches the Rfam family "Eukaryotic large subunit ribosomal RNA", at positions 38 to 1137 of the family's 3401-position model. Lineage: Eukaryota; Fungi; Ascomycota; Eurotiomycetes; Chaetothyriales; Chaetothyriaceae. The record is from RNAcentral.